CAAUGGGAAUGUGCGUUGAGCUCCUCCUUAAGAUAGUGCAGUGGCCAGCCUUCUGCAAUGCUGGACUUUGAAACACCCCAAACGUCGGAUAUGCACUGAAAACUGAGCUGAAGCAGUACCCACUGAGACAUCUUUUCAGAGCUUCUCUUGGAUCCAGAUCCAAGCCUUUCUGUAUGCAAAACCUCCUGGUGCUGCCCAGCUCCUGGCUGCUUCCCUCGUCCUGCUGCGGGUGCCUGGGAGACACUGAAGAGGGAAGGGAAGGAUCUUUGCUUUCAGACACAGAACUUUGUGCCACAGUGGCAUCUAGCUGCAGCAGUUACAGACCAAAUUCCACACAGUCCUUGCAGUCCUGGACUGGGGCAGGUUCCGAAUGACGGGCGCUUCGUAGCGUGCCCAGCUUUCCGUAGUCAGCAGCCCUGGCUGUGCAAAAGUCAUACGAGCUAGUGCUGAGUUUUCCUCUCAGGAGUUCCCCUAGGAUCGGCUGGCUUCUCGCCUGCAUAAAGCUACUCCAGGAGACGCCCGUGGCGUUUGCCAGCGGGGAGGCUGCUGCACAGGGCACCGUGGGACGCCCGGCACAGCAGCGCCUCGGGGAGCCCGCCGAACCCCGCAAAGAAGGUAACAGGACUUCUGCAUUGAAAAGCGUUCUCCAGUGGAUUCC
Long non-coding RNA from Rhea pennata, 658 nucleotides. RefSeq lists it as uncharacterized. The record is from RefSeq and is a predicted model, not a curated record. NCBI's taxonomy places the organism in Eukaryota, Metazoa, Chordata, Aves, Rheiformes, Rheidae. The transcript is spliced from 4 exons.